GUCCGGGGGGAGAAAGAUGGAGGAAGAGAGGAAAAAGAAGGUCUUUUUCCACAAGAAAAUUUCUGACAUAACACACCAGAAGGUUAACAAGAUAUCUCUGUGUCAGUUCUGGAUUUUUAUUUUUCCUCUUUGCUUGUGCCGUCUCAUUUUUCCAAAUAGAUUAUCUGUAUCUGUGUAACAAAUAUUACUAUAAGGUUAAUAGUGAAAAAAUAAAAUAUUCUAAAGGAUA
Long non-coding RNA from Eptesicus fuscus (big brown bat), 229 nucleotides. RefSeq lists it as uncharacterized. Lineage: Eukaryota; Metazoa; Chordata; Mammalia; Chiroptera; Vespertilionidae. The transcript is spliced from 2 exons. The record is from RefSeq and is a predicted model, not a curated record.